UCAAGAGUCGGAGGCUUAACUGAGCCGCUCAGGCAUCCCAAACAUCUGUUAUUUUUAAAAUGAAUUUAAACCAAUAGAAAAUUUGCAGUAAGGUAGACUACCUGGGGUAUAAAAUUUUAAAAUACACAAACAUAGAAACGCACAUUUACAAAUAGGGAAAAUACACAAAGAUGAACACGGGCUCUAAGGCAGUCUAGUACUAUUAAUACAGAAGUGCUUAUCGAGCUGGUAUUUGGGGAAGGGAAGUGUGUUUUCUCACUGCAUUUCCUAAUGUUUGCUGAUGUGAUUGCGUNNNNNNNNNNNNNNNNNNNAACGCGGAUGUAAUGAAAGCAGCAUGACACUGUAUUGAAAGUAAACGGAAGAGGCAGCUCUGCAAGGCAAGGAGAGAGUACAGGAGCAGCAUGAGUGAAGCCUAGGACCCAGGAAGUCUCUGUGGAGGUUCCCAAUUUGGCAGUGGCAUCUGUUUCCCACUGAGACCGCGACUAGCCCACGGCUCUGCCCUAUCAGACCCGUGAAGAAGACAGAAGGAAACAAUAAUGUCUACUAUGCUGUGAUGGUGACUAACACAGGAAGCCGCUGGAGUUCUCGCUGGCGGGUAGGAGGUCAUCGAGGAUUAAAGGUCAUGGAAAAACAUACUAUC
RNAcentral lists this long non-coding RNA (640 nucleotides) under Ursus maritimus (polar bear). RNAcentral's name for it is "lncRNA (ENSUMAG00000019355.1)". Lineage: Eukaryota; Metazoa; Chordata; Mammalia; Carnivora; Ursidae. The record is from RNAcentral.